RNAcentral lists this long non-coding RNA (962 nucleotides) under Mustela putorius furo (domestic ferret). RNAcentral describes it as "lncRNA (ENSMPUG00000030426.1)". The record is from RNAcentral. Lineage: Eukaryota; Metazoa; Chordata; Mammalia; Carnivora; Mustelidae.
GUCCCGCAGGGAGGUGGGGGUCGCCCGGCCCGGCCGGUCAGGCUUCAGUCGCACGGUUAUUUAUGGGGAGGGGGUUGCCUCCGUCCACUCAUCCUUCCCUCCCUCCGUCCCUCUGGCGGCGCGGGGAACGGUGGCGCCGAGCCCAGUGGCAAGGUGGCGGGUGGGCACAGGCCCUGGGUUGGGGAGGGGGCGCCGGGCGGCGCCGGCUCGGCCUGGUUAACUGGAAAACGAUGGAGACGCGCCCCGCCUCCGCCCCCGCCCCCGCCGCAUAAUUGUUUUCGCUCGCCCGUCCCCAUCUGUCCCUCUCCGCCCGUGUGUGUUUUGGCCUUUGUCUCGCUGCCCUGUACUGACACCCUCUUUCAAAGACCACUUCUGUCGCCCUUCACCGAUCUCUUCUGCCCCAUUAACCCAUCGGCACGAGGCUCAGGCAACAAAGCCCCGAAACGGGACCGGUGCGCAAGCCUCUCCAUUGUGCGUCGCUGACCCCGCGGCCGCGGCCUGCGCAGCCCGGCCCCGCAGCCCGACGGGGCGGGACGGAAUUGGCCUUGAAGAUAAACAGAGGAGGCCGUCGUGUCCGAGCCGAUUCCGCCCUAAGUAAACAGGGGAACAGGGCCCACGCUACCCUUGGCAGGGCCGCAGAGCAGCUGCCACAGCAGGAACGGCCGCCCGCCCGCGCAGAGGGUGACUGUCUGCUGUGGUGCUCUGUAAAGCUGCUGGCAUCCAACAGAACAGAACCAAGGCCUCCCGCACGGCCCAUCCCUGGCCGUCAGGGGCUGCUUGUCCUUCCUUCACCUCCCAGGAAAGAAUGCACUUCUGGACUCAGGGUCUCCCAAAUUUCAAAUUUCAGUUACUCAAGCCUUGGGUUUCAUAUCCACACACCACUGUUUAAUUUAUAUUUCUCUGUGAAUCUACUCGAAAUAGAAUCACUGUUUAAUUCAAAGUCACCCUAAGAUUAAAUCCAU